RNAcentral lists this long non-coding RNA (236 nucleotides) under Mytilus galloprovincialis (Mediterranean mussel). Lineage: Eukaryota; Metazoa; Mollusca; Bivalvia; Mytilida; Mytilidae. The record is from RNAcentral.
CUUCGUACCCCGAAAAUUUAACCACAUAUGUGAAAAUGUCACAGCUUCGAAACAAGCUAUCAUACAUAUCCAAGUUUACGAUAUGGACUGAGCUACAGGAAAAAACGUUACCAUUAUCGCCUAUGGAAAAACAAUUAAAGAUAUUGAGCCAAUUUACAAAAGAUAAAUCAGAAGUUAUCAGAGUGAUCUAUGGAUGAUUUCACCUUGUACACCCGGGAAAAUUGUGAAAAUGAUGG